RNAcentral lists this ribosomal RNA (1305 nucleotides) under Salmonella enterica. Its description in RNAcentral is "partial 23S ribosomal RNA". It matches the Rfam family "Bacterial large subunit ribosomal RNA", at positions 420 to 1727 of the family's 2925-position model. The record is from RNAcentral. Lineage: Bacteria; Pseudomonadati; Pseudomonadota; Gammaproteobacteria; Enterobacterales; Enterobacteriaceae.
GGACACGUGGUAUCCUGUCUGAAUAUGGGGGGACCAUCCUCCAAGGCUAAAUACUCCUGACUGACCGAUAGUGAACCAGUACCGUGAGGGAAAGGCGAAAAGAACCCCGGCGAGGGGAGUGAAAAAGAACCUGAAACCGUGUACGUACAAGCAGUGGGAGCACCCUUUGGGUGUGACUGCGUACCUUUUGUAUAAUGGGUCAGCGACUUAUAUUCUGUAGCAAGGUUAACCGAAUAGGGGAGCCGGAGGGAAACCGAGUCUUAACCGGGCGUUAAGUUGCAGGGUAUAGACCCGAAACCCGGUGAUCUAGCCAUGGGCAGGUUGAAGGUUGGGUAACACUAACUGGAGGACCGAACCGACUAAUGUUGAAAAAUUAGCGGAUGACCUGUGGCUGGGGGUGAAAGGCCAAUCAAACCGGGAGAUAGCUGGUUCUCCCCGAAAGCUAUUUAGGUAGCGCCUCGUGAAUUCAUCUCCGGGGGUAGAGCACUGUUUCGGCUAGGGGGCCAUCCCGGCUUACCAACCCGAUGCAAACUGCGAAUACCGGAGAAUGUUAUCACGGGAGACACACGGCGGGUGCUAACGUCCGUCGUGAAGAGGGAAACAACCCAGACCGCCAGCUAAGGUCCCAAAGUCAUGGUUAAGUGGGAAACGAUGUGGGAAGGCCCAGACAGCCAGGAUGUUGGCUUAGAAGCAGCCAUCAUUUAAAGAAAGCGUAAUAGCUCACUGGUCGAGUCGGCCUGCGCGGAAGAUGUAACGGGGCUAAACCAUGCACCGAAGCUGCGGCAGCGACACUGUGUGUUGUUGGGUAGGGGAGCGUUCUGUAAGCCUGUGAAGGUGUGUCGUGAGGCAUGCUGGAGGUAUCAGAAGUGCGAAUGCUGACAUAAGUAACGAUAAAGCGGGUGAAAAGCCCGCUCGCCGGAAGACCAAGGGUUCCUGUCCAACGUUAAUCGGGGCAGGGUGAGUCGACCCCUAAGGCGAGGCCGAAAGGCGUAGUCGAUGGGAAACGGGUUAAUAUUCCCGUACUUGGUGUUACUGCGAAGGGGGGACGGAGAAGGCUAUGUUGGCCGGGCGACGGUUGUCCCGGUUUAAGCGUGUAGGUGUGUGUUCCAGGUAAAUCCGGUUCACUUUAACACUGAGGCGUGACGACGAGGCACUACGGUGCUGAAGCAACAAAUGCCCUGCUUCCAGGAAAAGCCUCUAAGCAUCAGGUAACAUCAAAUCGUACCCCAAACCGACACAGGUGGUCAGGUAGAGAAUACCAAGGCGCUUGAGAGAACUCGGGUGAAGGAACUAGGCAAAAUGGUG